UAACACAAUAUUCGCUCCCCCUCAACCGAGACCUAUAGGGAGGAUAAAUUACGUCUCUCAUAUCCACUAGUGAAGGGAUUAGUGGAAAUAUUAAUAUCG
This 99-nucleotide non-coding RNA is filed under the name unclassified sequences. Its description in RNAcentral is "PhotoRC-II RNA". It matches the Rfam family "PhotoRC-II RNA". The record is from RNAcentral.